Non-coding RNA from Gorilla gorilla gorilla (western lowland gorilla), 148 nucleotides. It matches the Rfam family "Metazoan signal recognition particle RNA". Rfam says of the family: The signal recognition particle (SRP) is a universally conserved ribonucleoprotein. The record is from Rfam. NCBI's taxonomy places the organism in Eukaryota, Metazoa, Chordata, Mammalia, Primates, Hominidae.
GCCAGGCAUGGUGGUGCAUGCCUGUAUUCCCAGCUACUCGGGAGGCUGAGGUGGGAGGAUUGCUUGAGCCUGGGAAGUGGAGGUUGCAGUGAGCUCAGAUUGGGCCACUGCACUCCAGCCUGGGUGACAAAGUGAUACCCCGUCUCAA